AGAGUUUGAUCCUGGCUCAGAUUGAACGCUGGCGGUAUGCUUAACACAUGCAAGUCGAACGGUAACAGCAGAGCUUGCUCUGGCUGACGAGUGGCGGACGGGUGCGUAACGCGUGGGAAUCUACCUUGUAGUGGGGGAUAGCCCGGAGAAAUCCGGAUUAACACCGCAUAAUCUCUACGGAGGAAAAGGGGCCUCUUCUUGAAAGCUCCUGCUAUUAGAUGAGCCCGCGUUGGAUUAGCUUGUUGGUAGGGUAAUGGCCUACCAAGGCGACAAUCCAUAGCUGGUUUGAGAGGAUGAUCAGCCACACUGGGACUGAGACACGGCCCAGACUCCUACGGGAGGCAGCAGUGGGGAAUAUUGGACAAUGGGCGAAAGCCUGAUCCAGCAAUACCGCGUGUGUGAAGAAGGCCUGAGGGUUGUAAAGCACUUUCAAUAGAGACGAAAAGCUUAAGGCUAAUAACCUUGAGUCUUGACUUAACCUAUAGAAGAAGCACCGGCUAACUAAGUGCCAGCAGCCGCGGUAAUACUUAGGGUGCAAGCGUUAAUCGGAAUUACUGGGCGUAAAGCGCUCGUAGGCGGCUUGUAAAGUCGGAUGUGAAAUCCCCGGGCUCAACCUGGGAACUGCAUUCGAUACUGGCAAGCUAGAGUAUAGUAGAGGCAAGUGGAAUUCCGGGUGUAGCGGUGAAAUGCGUAGAUAUC
This 699-nucleotide ribosomal RNA is filed under the name uncultured bacterium. Its description in RNAcentral is "bacterial SSU rRNA". It matches the Rfam family "Bacterial small subunit ribosomal RNA", at positions 8 to 698 of the family's 1533-position model. The record is from RNAcentral.